Molecule: long non-coding RNA, 444 nt
Filed under: Cicer arietinum (chickpea)
Lineage: Eukaryota; Viridiplantae; Streptophyta; Magnoliopsida; Fabales; Fabaceae
Description: long non-coding RNA (CARI_LNC001916)
Source: RNAcentral
GCAACCUGAAGUUGAUAUGAAAGUACAUUUAUUUAAAUAUUAAAAAGAAAAAUGGAUGUAAGGUGUACAACUAACUUUUUUGAUAAAUAGUGGUGGUGAAGUUAAAUGAUGUUCAAUCGCAAGGUUCCAAGUAAACAAUUUUGCUGCUGAGAUGUUCUUGUAUAACAUUAUCCAUCCACUUAUAAGUGGGGUUGGUCUUCCCUUUAAUUUCCUAAAAGAUGUCGAAUUGAUUCAUUGUUCUUUCUUUUUCUGGUUCCUUCAGUUGGUACUAUUGAAUUCUUUUGAUAAAGCAAUCAAAGCAAAUAGGCGGGUCCGAAAUACAAGUUUUUCUUUUUCCUCAACUCACAACAUUUACUCCAAUUACUACAUUAUUUUUUGUAAAUAGUAGUAAUACUAAUAUAUGCUCUCAUGUGCCGUCACAAAAAGUCGACACGAGCAUUUUCA